RNAcentral lists this ribosomal RNA (785 nucleotides) under uncultured bacterium. Its description in RNAcentral is "bacterial SSU rRNA". It matches the Rfam family "Bacterial small subunit ribosomal RNA", at positions 1 to 803 of the family's 1533-position model. The record is from RNAcentral.
CUUAGAGUUUGAUCCUGGCUCAAGAUGAACUCUGGCGGCGCGCCUAACACAUGCAAGUCGAACGGUUAAGCCACCUUCGGGUGGGAAUAAAGUGGCGAACGGCUGAGUAACACGUGGGCAACCUGCCCCUCGCACCGGGACAGCCUCGGGAAACCGUGGAUGAUACCGGAUACUCCGCCUCCCCCGCAUGGGGAGGGCGGGAAAGCCCAGACGGCGAGGGAUGGGCCCGCGGCCUGUUAGCUAGUUGGCGGGGCAGCGGCCCACCAAGGCGAUGAUGGGUAGCCGGGUUGAGAGACCGACCGGCCAGAUUGGGACUGAGACACGGCCCAGACUCCUACGGGAGGCAGCAGUGGGGAAUCUUGCACAAUGGGCGGAAGCCUGAUGCAGCGACGCCGCGUGCGGGACGAAGGCCUUCGGGCUGUAAACCGCUUUCAGCAGGGACGAGGCGCAAGUGACGGUACCUGCAGAAGAAGCCCCGGCUAACUACGUGCCAGCAGCCGCGGUAAUACGUAGGGGGCAAGCGUUAUCCGGAUUCAUUGGGCGUAAAGCGCGCGUAGGCGGCCAGCCUGGUCGGGAGUCAAAUCCGGGGGCUCAACCCCCGUCCGCUCCCGAUACCGGCCGGCUUGAGUCUGGCAGGGGAAGGCGGAAUUCCCGGUGUAGCGGUGGAAUGCGCAGAUAUCGGGAAGAACACCGGUGGCGAAGGCGGCCUUCUGGGCCACGACUGACGCUGAGGCGCGAAAGCUAGGGGAGCGAACAGGAUUAGAUACCCUGGUAGUCCUAGCCGU